Molecule: long non-coding RNA, 558 nt
Organism: Pezoporus occidentalis (night parrot)
Lineage: Eukaryota; Metazoa; Chordata; Aves; Psittaciformes; Psittacidae
Exons: 2
Source: RefSeq, a predicted model, not a curated record
GUUCAUGCCCCAAGCCAUAGGAAAGCCAAUAGGAAGCAGCAGAAAUAGAGUGGUUCAAGCCCUAAGAGAGGAAAGGCAACUGAAAACCAGUUCUGCAGACAUUUCUGUGAACAUAGUCCUCACAGGUCUUGGAGGAAGAGAGGAACCACUGACAUGCCAUGAACAUCUCACGCCUGGUGCUCAGCUCCCACCCAUGUGCUGGGAGUUAUCUCCUUUAACUAGACAGGAAGCAGGUUGGGGCCAUUGAAGGGCUCUGUUGGGUACAGCAGCCUAACUGCAUUCCACCACUGGCACCGUGACAGUACAGUCCUGAAUUAGGCAAUGGAUGGGAAGCAGAAAGGACAAGAUGACACAAAGGCACUCUUCAGAAAGUGCUCAGGUGAUGCAGAUUUUGAUUAUUUCCUAUGUGAUAAUUCUGUCAGAUUUAAACUUUGCCAGUAUGGACAGCAUGAGGAAUUUGCAGCUCCACUCUAAAUCACAGGGAGAAAGGACUAUGAGUUUAACGGAGAAAAGCCUAUCAUGCAAAUAAUAUAGUACACGUGAUGUCACAAUACUGCA